UUGCUUUAGCAGAAUCUGUCAUUCAGCUUUUAGAACACUUUUCUCUUUUACUGCCAGAAUAAGGAACACAAUGUCUCUGAGAAAUGCAGAAAAAAAGCAAAAGAGCGAGCAACCACAAGUCCAGAUUAUCAGGCUGUCCCUGACGGUCAGGAAUUUUGGGUUCUGUUCCUCCAAAAUGUCUGCAGUGAAAAAAAACAACACAUUUUUGAGUUCUAAUCAAAUUAACACACAUAAAUUCAUUUCCAACUCUAGUCGUGAAGCUUUUAUUGACCAAAGUCACAUCUGCAGGAUCUCAGUUACACAUUAUCCCACGAGAGCACUUUGCUCUCAGCCUGCAGGCUUUCCUGUGAUUCCGAGAGUUUUAAACAGCAAAAUUGGAGGCAGAGCCUACAGCUAUCAGCCUCCUCCCUUGUGAAACCAGCAUUGUUUCUGGAGGCAGACAUUCUUCACCUAGAUGGAUGGCCUGAAGUUUGGCGACGCGAGUGAUCCAGUGGUGACAGAUAAGAACCUGCCCUGCACGUCAGAAUCCCAGAUAACAGAACAACAGGAAGUGUCAUCUGCUGGGGUCGUGUUCCACUCAUGCAUAAGUGCACAAACACACACAAACACACACAAGUCUCAAACCUCCCCUGCAACAAAGAGCAGGAUGUUCAGGCUUUUUCGCCUGUACUCCUUCCUAACCUUCCCGGACGUUUUUAUUCAUCUCAUUCCAGUUUUCUGAGGUUUGAAGAAACAAAAAGCUUUUUCCACCAUCGCCACUUUGAGGAAGACCAUCAACACAGAGAUCACAGACUCACGUCAACAACAACAAAGUGUCACAAAGCCUCAGAAAAGACGCUCGCUUCCUGCAUCAGCAGUUCAAUGAAUGACCCUCUUUCAAGACCACCUGUUUUCUCGGUUCUGUCACACUGCGAUAGCAAAAGUGCCGAAACAAAAGCGCUGAUCUCCCUUCUCGGGGUUUUGACCUCUGUGUCAUCUGCAGGCGGCCUCAGAAAGGCCACAACCACGGAGGUGGCUCCCAAAGUAUCGGCAGGAGCAUCUGUCUGCUGGCCUGAAUGGUCCCUGUUGUGUUUUUUUGUGAUCCAGAUGUCAUGAAUCAUCUGCGUGGGUGUUUUCUUUACAGAUCAAUAUCUAAAAAUGAUUUGUAUUGGAGUUGCUUGAAGACCCAUAAUAAACUGGAUCCUGUGUCACUGAA
This is a long non-coding RNA of Oryzias melastigma (Indian medaka), 1195 nucleotides long. RefSeq lists it as uncharacterized. NCBI's taxonomy places the organism in Eukaryota, Metazoa, Chordata, Actinopteri, Beloniformes, Adrianichthyidae. The transcript has 3 exons. The record is from RefSeq and is a predicted model, not a curated record.